GCCGCAGUAGCUCAGUGGUAGAGCAACGCAUUCGUAAUGCGUGGGUCGGGGGUUCAAAUCCCUCCUGCGGCACCA
RNAcentral lists this transfer RNA (75 nucleotides) under Hyphomicrobiales bacterium. RNAcentral describes it as "tRNA-Thr". It matches the Rfam family "tRNA". From Rfam's summary of the family: Transfer RNA (tRNA) molecules are approximately 80 nucleotides in length. The record is from RNAcentral. Lineage: Bacteria; Pseudomonadati; Pseudomonadota; Alphaproteobacteria; Hyphomicrobiales.